GUAGACGCUUCAUUAGAAUGUCCAGCAGUAUCUGACUAUCUCUUCGCAGCAGCUAUGUUUCAGACAGCGGCACCUCGUAUAGCUGUAUUCUGGCAGCUGAUCCACGGUAACACCGCUCGCUUGAUUUCAAAUAUCAUAUUCUUCGUGAAACAUUGCUUCGCAGCCUCCUUUUCCUUUUUCCCUCGGGAUAUUUAUAAGACCGGCCAAAGGUUUGGUGAGCUCUUCCCCUCGGGACUGGUGUAUACGGGCGGGGAGUAGGAUUACUGCUGCACGUAGAUGAAACGGCUAGGUGCAAACGCGCUGCCGUGCUGCCGGGCUCGUCGCUUGGCCAGUCGCAUGCGAUUAGGUCAUGUCGGUUGGUCUUGGUGGUGCGGUAGUGCCCUGGUCGACCCUCGGUGUAAAAGUUGGUCAUCUCUCCGACCCGUCUUGAAACACGGACCAAGGAGUCUAGCGUAUACGCGAGUCAUUGGGUGGAAAACCCAUAGGCGCAAUGAAAGUGAAGGCUUCCUCGUGGAGCUGAUAUGCGAUCCGUUGCACUUCGGUGUACGCGGAGAAGCAUAGCCCCGUCUCGACUGCUUGCAGUGGGGCCGGAGGUAGAGCGUAUUCGCUGGUACCCGAAAGAUGGUGAACUAUGCCUUGAGCAGGAUGAAGCCAGAGGAAACUCUGGUGGAGGUCCGAAGCGCUUUCUGACGUGCAAAUCGAUCGUCUGACUUGGGUAUAGGGGCGAAAGACUAAUCGAACCAUCUAGUAGCUGUUCCCUUUGCAAAAGUUUGUUCGAAGUUUGUUGUUUUUUCUUG
This 797-nucleotide ribosomal RNA is filed under the name Acrobeloides sp. CBR. RNAcentral describes it as "eukaryotic LSU rRNA". It matches the Rfam family "Eukaryotic large subunit ribosomal RNA", at positions 445 to 1008 of the family's 3401-position model. Lineage: Eukaryota; Metazoa; Nematoda; Chromadorea; Rhabditida; Cephalobidae. The record is from RNAcentral.